Molecule: microRNA, 23 nt
Filed under: Monodelphis domestica (gray short-tailed opossum)
Lineage: Eukaryota; Metazoa; Chordata; Mammalia; Didelphimorphia; Didelphidae
Description: mdo-miR-12324a-3p
Source: miRBase by way of RNAcentral
AAGUCCGGACCCUGGCGCUUAUU